GGGGAUGUAAAGGCUUCGACGGGGAGAACGACCCCGGAUAAGCGAGCGGCGGUGCGGAACCGCCAUAAAAUCCGCAAACUUAAAAUAACUGACAAAAAUACAGUUGCUUUAGCUGCUUAAUGCAGCUCGUUCCUGCGCGGAGUACCUCGGCCGCGUAAGGGGCGUCGAUUAGAGGUAAAUGUGAACAGAGAAUUGCUCCGCUCCCUGUCACACAUCAGGAGCUGCCAAACCGUUUAGCCUGUCGUUAGGCGACUCGGCAAGGGAGAUUUAAUAUAGCGACUGCGCUCGGAGAAAGUCCCGGCGAAUUCUUUUCGGACACGGGUUCGAUUCCCGUCAUCUCCACCA
This 345-nucleotide transfer-messenger RNA is filed under the name Acutalibacteraceae. Its description in RNAcentral is "Ruminococcus_E sp900319655 Standard tmRNA". It matches the Rfam family "transfer-messenger RNA". From Rfam's summary of the family: Bacterial tmRNA, also known as 10Sa RNA or SsrA, is named for its dual tRNA and mRNA-like properties. Its role is to liberate the mRNA from a stalled ribosome. The record is from RNAcentral. RNAcentral also lists the same sequence under 1 other name. Lineage: Bacteria; Bacillati; Bacillota; Clostridia; Eubacteriales.